UGGCUCCGUUUCCUGGAGGGUGGGCUUAGCCUGACCCACCCUCCCUCAGACGAGCUUAGAGUAGAGAGGCCAGGCUUCCUUCCCUGUGGGAGAGGUGGUUAAGAGAGGAGCCUCACCUGGACUGUCCUCGCCUCACAUUU
Phyllostomus discolor (pale spear-nosed bat) is the source of this 140-nucleotide non-coding RNA. RefSeq annotates it as small Cajal body-specific RNA 21. The transcript has a single exon. The record is from RefSeq and is a predicted model, not a curated record. NCBI's taxonomy places the organism in Eukaryota, Metazoa, Chordata, Mammalia, Chiroptera, Phyllostomidae.